AUUGAACGCUAGCGGGAUGCCUUACACAUGCAAGUCGAACGGCAGCACGGACUUCGGUCUGGUGGCGAGUGGCGAACGGGUGAGUAAUGUAUCGGAACGUGCCCAGUAGCGGGGGAUAACUACGCGAAAGCGUAGCUAAUACCGCAUACGCCCUACGGGGGAAAGCAGGGGAUCUUCGGACCUUGCACUAUUGGAGCGGCCGAUAUCGGAUUAGCUAGUUGGUGGGGUAACGGCCUACCAAGGCGACGAUCCGUAGCUGGUUUGAGAGGACGACCAGCCACACUGGGGACUGAGACACGGCCCAGACUCCUACGGAGCAGCAGUGGGGAAUUUUGGACAAUGGGGAAACCCUGAUCCAGCCAUCCCGCGUGUGCGAUGAAGGCCUUCGGGUUGUAAAGCACUUUUGGCAGGAAAGAAACGUCGCGGGCUAAUACCCCG
RNAcentral lists this ribosomal RNA (438 nucleotides) under Achromobacter pulmonis. Its description in RNAcentral is "bacterial SSU rRNA". It matches the Rfam family "Bacterial small subunit ribosomal RNA", at positions 30 to 466 of the family's 1533-position model. Lineage: Bacteria; Pseudomonadati; Pseudomonadota; Betaproteobacteria; Burkholderiales; Alcaligenaceae. The record is from RNAcentral.